RNAcentral lists this ribosomal RNA (274 nucleotides) under uncultured bacterium. RNAcentral's name for it is "partial 16S ribosomal RNA". It matches the Rfam family "Bacterial small subunit ribosomal RNA", at positions 523 to 796 of the family's 1533-position model. The record is from RNAcentral.
AUACGGAGGGGGCUAGCGUUGUUCGGAAUUACUGGGCGUAAAGCGCGCGUAGGCGGAUUGAUCAGUCAGGGGUGAAAUCCCGGAGCUUAACUCCGGAACUGCCUUUGAUACUGUCAAUCUUGAGUUCGAGAGAGGUGAGUGGAAUUCCUAGUGUAGGGGUGAAAUUCGUAGAUAUUAGGAAGAACACCAGUGGCGAAGGCGGCUCACUGGCUCGAUACUGACGCUGAGGUGCGAAAGCGUGGGGAGCAAACAGGAUUAGAAACCCUAGUAGUCC